GAUCCAAUAUAGGUCAAUCACACACAGCUGGCUCGGUUUCAGUGUUACUGCCGGUACUGCUCCACAAGAGCAACGUUACACUGUUUGAUCAGUUAGUGAGACAAUGACAGUGGAUAAUGACCUUAAUCGAUCUCUGAUAUUCUCACACAGCGAGGAAACAACAAACAAACAAACAAACAGCAGCCAUUGAACUACCAGCAGCUUCAUUAUCACAAUGUUAGUCUUUGUUGUUCGAGAGGCUGUUCGCUUGUCGCUUUCACUGAACGCUUAUCAACAGGUGGCGUUGAUUUCCUCUGACAAUAACAGCAAGAAAACAACAACAACAACAACGACUGUUUAAAAGGUUCAAGUAUCCGGAGCGACCGCGAACUUUCCGUCAUGGCGUCAGUUCGCCUGAGCAGCCCGGUGGAGAGUCUGUUCCCUGGUGGAGAGUCAUUGUGGACUAGAGAGGGAAUACUGGGAAUAUCUGCUUCAUGGAGACGUUUGGAGGACGAGAGGAAGAAGAAAAGAGGACAUAAGACGAAGAACUGGAGUUUGUUGUGAGUUAGAAGGAGGACUGCUGCUGAGGCUCUGUGGGAACUAUGGAAGAGUCUUCAGGUUGAUUAGAAAUAUCUGCAGCGCCAGUGGAGGACAUCAUCUCCUCUGGUUGAAGGCUGAUGUCCAGAGUUACAGGAGGACUGCUGUUGACUCGGUCUGCAGGAAACACACAAGAGUCUUCAAAAAUUAUCUGGACCUUCAGGCUCCUGUAACCCAAAUCCCAUCGCUCCCAUCCAGAGCCCCAGACUCUCACACACACUGUGGGAGCGGCUGAUGAAGUUGGGACCAGUGGACGUUUCCCACAAAGAGGGGG
Dicentrarchus labrax (European seabass) is the source of this 850-nucleotide long non-coding RNA. RefSeq lists it as uncharacterized. The record is from RefSeq and is a predicted model, not a curated record. NCBI's taxonomy places the organism in Eukaryota, Metazoa, Chordata, Actinopteri, Moronidae. The transcript has 7 exons.